AAAUCAUGGUGUGGGCAUAUCCUUAAAAGCUCCCCAAAUUGCUCCCACACCUCAAAUAGUGAUUCUGCUUUGUUUUGCUAGAAGCAACUUAUCUCCGUCAUUAGUUU
Molecule: small nucleolar RNA, 107 nt
Organism: Abrus precatorius (Indian licorice)
Lineage: Eukaryota; Viridiplantae; Streptophyta; Magnoliopsida; Fabales; Fabaceae
Source: RefSeq, a predicted model, not a curated record